This 198-nucleotide ribosomal RNA is filed under the name uncultured bacterium. RNAcentral's name for it is "partial 16S ribosomal RNA". It matches the Rfam family "Bacterial small subunit ribosomal RNA", at positions 328 to 539 of the family's 1533-position model. The record is from RNAcentral.
ACGCUCGACACCUACGGGAGGUAGCAGUGGGGAAUAUUGCACAAUGGGGGAAACCCUGAUGCAGCAACGCCGCGUGAAGGAAGACGGUUUUCGGAUUGUAAACUUCUGUUCUUAGUGAAGAUAGUGACGGUAGCUAAGGAGCAAGCCACGGCUAACUACGUGCCAGCAGCAGCGGUAAUCUGAGCGGGCUGGCAAGGC